UCUCUUCCAACUAUGACAAGUCUGUGAUUCUGAGGAAGCUGACAACAAGCAACAAGGUGUUUUCUUUGCCUCUGACUGGAGUGCUAACAAAACUGAAGUUGAUGGCCUGAUUGAAUAACCCUCCAGCCAUAACAGCCUGCAGCUUAUUUUCACCUUCAAAGAUGCUUUUUUACCAGGGAAGAGACAGGAGGGAGGUUGUCACAUCAGGUCCUGAUGCUGUCAUGUUGCAAUGGCCAUUGCAUGUCAGAAAGUCUAUUUAAUUCCCUUCUGCUUCUGCCAGACUUCUGAGUUUUACAGGGAGGAAAUGAGGCUCUGCUGCCUCUGCUACAGUCCACAGAACUUUUCCCAGAAGCAGGAAAAAACAGACAUUUGGGGAAGUUUGGAGAGCAUUACAGCCCACUGAAUUUCAACAGCCCAAGAGGGAAUAUGCUGUAAGCUGCACCAAAGAGUAGUGGAGGACGAGGAGCCCUCAGCCAUGGGAGGCUUUCUGGAGCCAGACACAGACCUCAGGCAAUGUGCUCAGCCCUGCUGCCCUGACUCCUCAGUAAAUGAUGCGUGGAUGAGCUUAACUUGAUGGGAUCCAGCCCAGGAUCCAGCCCAGGAUCUGGCAUGGAAGUUCUUGGACCAUCACCUUCCUCCAUCCUCCCAGCACCUCACCUGGAAGAUCCUCACUUCUCACAGCAGACAAUUCCUCAGAGAUGUCCAGGUCUCUCCACCAACUGUAGCAAAAGCCAAGAUGAUAGAUUGAGGACUGUAGAGUUUAGGUGCUUUUUAAGAUGGCUAAACUAGAAUAUAAUGAAUGCCA
Calypte anna (Anna's hummingbird) is the source of this 805-nucleotide long non-coding RNA. RefSeq lists it as uncharacterized. The transcript is spliced from 3 exons. The record is from RefSeq and is a predicted model, not a curated record. Lineage: Eukaryota; Metazoa; Chordata; Aves; Apodiformes; Trochilidae.